This is a small nucleolar RNA of Octodon degus (degu), 117 nucleotides long. NCBI's taxonomy places the organism in Eukaryota, Metazoa, Chordata, Mammalia, Rodentia, Octodontidae. The record is from Ensembl.
GACUAUGUAUGUCAAGAGUAAAAUGACUUCCUAGCCAUGGAAGAGCAUAUUCUUGUUUAUUGGCAAAGCUGUCACCAUUUAAUUGGUACCAGAUUCUGACUGGCACAAGUAACAUUC